CGAGUGAAGCGGCAACAGCUCAAAUUUGAAAUCUGGCUCUUUCAGGGUCCGAGUUGUAAUUUGUAGAAGAUGUUUCGAGUGUGGCUCCGGUCUAAGUUCCUUGGAACAGGACGUCAUAGAGGGUGAGAAUCCCGUAUGUGACUGGUUGCCUUCGCUCAUGUGAAACUCUUUCGACGAGUCGAGUUGUUUGGGAAUGCAGCUCAAAAUGGGUGGUAAAUUUCAUCUAAAGCUAAAUAUUGGCCAGAGACCGAUAGCGCACAAGUAGAGUGAUCGAAAGAUGAAAAGCACUUUGGAAAGAGAGUUAAACAGUACGUGAAAUUGUUGAAAGGGAAGCGCUUGCAACCAGACUUGCGCGUAGUUGAUCAUCCGGGGUUCUCCCCGGUGCACUCGACUACGCUCAGGCCAGCAUCGGUUUGGGUGGUUGGAUAAAGGCCUUGGGAAUGUGGCUUCCUUCGGGGAGUGUUAUAGCCCUCGGUGCAAUGCAGCCUAUCCGGACCGAGGACCGCGCUUCGGCUAGGAUGCUGGCGUAAUGGUUGUAAGCGACCCGUCUUGA
This 553-nucleotide ribosomal RNA is filed under the name Stipitochalara recta. Its description in RNAcentral is "eukaryotic LSU rRNA". It matches the Rfam family "Eukaryotic large subunit ribosomal RNA", at positions 90 to 657 of the family's 3401-position model. The record is from RNAcentral. Lineage: Eukaryota; Fungi; Ascomycota; Leotiomycetes; Helotiales; Hamatocanthoscyphaceae.